Long non-coding RNA from Bradysia coprophila, 660 nucleotides. NCBI's taxonomy places the organism in Eukaryota, Metazoa, Arthropoda, Insecta, Diptera, Sciaridae. The record is from RefSeq and is a predicted model, not a curated record.
AUAAGUCAGUCGAAAAUUAUAAAUUCUCAGUUCACCAUAAGGUCUAUGAAAGACUUACACAAGAAAAAUAAAUUUAGUACGCUACCGCACUGCCGAACGAACAGUUACUAAAAUAUACAUUCAGAAUGUCGACCAUUUUCCGCUUAGGGCUUUGUUUGAUACUACUUACCACCAUCAUGGCACAAUCAAAAAUCGAUUCCGCUCUCUUGGCUGUCCUUAAUGGUGGACAACGAGCCAGAUUACAGAUUUCAAUGAUCGAAGGAACAGAGGACAUUCUAAAAAGCAUCGGCGAUAGGACUUUUGCCACUCGAGAAGAACAAUUGACUACACAACACAAUCAAUUGACUGCGUAUGCUGCACAAAGUCAGGCUCAGGUUGUUGGACUUUUAGAGACCGAGAAAAAUCGAAUUCCUAUCACGUGGGAGUCGUUGCCGAUUGGAAACCAAAUUAUUGUUAAUGGAGCUGAUUUACAGUUGGCGAACGCGAUUGCUAACAUUCAAAAUGUGGCGAAAGUUGAAGGCGAAAAGUUUGUAGAUUUGCUUUGAAGAAAUACUGUUUCUAUAAUGUGACUUCAUCAUAAUCAACAUUAACAUAAUCUACCUCUCUGUUCGCUAAUUUACGAUAAUCUCAAAAAUAUACUUGCUUACGUAAAUCACGAAA